Molecule: ribosomal RNA, 453 nt
Filed under: uncultured bacterium
Lineage: Bacteria
Description: bacterial SSU rRNA
Rfam family: Bacterial small subunit ribosomal RNA
Source: RNAcentral
GGACGGGUGAGUAACGCGUGGGUAACCUACCCCAAAGUCCGGGAUAAUAGCGGGAAACCGCUGCUAAUACCGGAUGCCUUUACCUUGGGGCAUCUUGAGGUAAAGAAAGGUAACGCUUUGGGAUGGGCCCGCGUCCCAUUAGCUAGUUGGUGAGGUAACGGCUCACCAAGGCGACGAUGGGUAGCCGGCCUGAGAGGGUGGACGGCCACACUGGGACUGAGACACGGCCCAGACUCCUACGGGAGGCAGCAGUAGGGAAUAUUGCGCAAUGGACGGAAGUCUGACGCAGCGACGCCGCGUGAGCGAUGAAGGUCUUCGGAUCGUAAAGCUCUGUCCUUGGGGAAGAAGGCGAAAGCUUGACGGUACCCAAGAAGAAAGCCCCGGCUAACUACGUGCCAGCAGCCGCGGUAAUACGUAGGGGGCGAGCGUUGUCCGGAAUUACUGGGCGUAAAG